GAAUGACUUCAGAAAAAGAGGUUUUUCAAUUGAUAAUUUUUGUAUGUAAGAGGUUAAAAGUGGCAAAUUUUAAACAGAUUUUUUAACUUUGUAUUACAUUCUUCCAUAAUUUUCUAUAUUAUCUAUUGUUGAGACUAUACAAAGCAUCUCAAGUAACUCAAGAAGAAUUUGAUUAGGUGCUGCAUUCCGUCAUCACAAUCGACAGACGACAAAUGAUAGAGAACCAAGGUAUUCGCUGCCAAGUACUGGGAAAUUCGCAUGGUUGGGAUAGAGAAUAUCCCAUCUGUGUGAUGAGCAUCUCAAGUACUGUCAAUCCGGAAGAUUUAGUUUACCCGUGCAUUUUGCAUUUCAUACAGUAUUGCCCGAGCUCCGAAGUAUAUCAUUUACCCAGACCGAAAUAAGUCAACCGAAGAAUACAGAGUAAAAUAUUCUGAGAAGCAUGUCGUGAAAAAUGAACAUGAGUUAGCCAACCUGUCAUCUAGCUCUGGAUGAGUGUGAAACGCGAUUUAUCGGAAGAUACUUUGACUCAAUUAUAUUUAUCUGGUGCAUCCUUCUCAUUGUGGUACUAAGAGAAUCUUUGUAGAAAAUCGGAGAACCGAAAUAAAAUGGGUUUUGUCCAGCUGAAACCGAGAGUA
This is a long non-coding RNA of Topomyia yanbarensis, 635 nucleotides long. RefSeq lists it as uncharacterized. NCBI's taxonomy places the organism in Eukaryota, Metazoa, Arthropoda, Insecta, Diptera, Culicidae. The transcript has 3 exons. The record is from RefSeq and is a predicted model, not a curated record.